CUUGAUAUCAUUCUACCUGCCACACACCUGUGGGGACUUCCAGACGUUCAUGAAAAAUGGAAAUGAAAUUCAUCUGGAUGCAAAACGUUUUUGAAGUCCACAAAUCAUUAUUUCCCAGUACCUAGCCCUGGGACAUUGCGUCUACAGCUCAUCUUCCCAGGCUAUUGCUUUGUUCUUCAAGUGACCAGAACUGCAUCAAGAAUGCUUCCUGUGCCUGCGAUGCACCCACACAGCAUCACAGGUAGUUUCUUGGAGCUUAAGUCUGAGCUUGUUCUACCAAAAGGGUUUCCCUCCUGAAUUCUUAAAGUCUGCAGCCAAUUUACUCUGGCAUGUAGGAUGGAAGGAGAUAGUAAGAGAUGGACAAACCGAGACUCUACGUUCUGAUUUGCAAAGACUGAGAGCGGUAAGACCUUCCAGCCCUUUAGGUUUCUAGGAUCGCAGCGGAAAUAGGAGGUGAGGGCCACGGUUUGUCCGCAAGUCUCGGCGGGGAAGCGACAAUGCCAACUCUGUACACCAAGGAGCAGCUCCGUAAGCCCGUGCCUGUCAGCCCGUCAGAGCCGCAUCACCUGAAGAGACCAGCACACCUAGGCCGGCCGCAGGGCCGGAGAUCAGACGGUCUCAACGCAGGACCCGUCGUCUCGCACAGCCUAUAGGAGUCGGCCCCGCGGAUCCCCACACCGCCGAGCGCGAGCGGUCAACAGACGCCAACACUGGGGUUCCCACGGCUCGGGGACCCAAAGCCGCCCGGACAGGAAGGCGCCGGGCCCCGGACUUUCUCCCCGGCAUCCCGGAGGGCGGCGACCUUCCCUCCGCUGUCCGGGGCUGGAAGCUGGGCAGGGCAGCAGCAGAGACACGGAGGAGGGGAUGCCACCCGCGAGCUGGACACCCGGGUCUCCGCCGCGCGCCAGCCCCUCUCCACCUGUCCGGCGGACCCGCUUCCCCCGACCACUCCAGCCGUCACCGGGACUUCUCCAAGUUGGGGGCCGGGCAGGCGAGGCAGCCAAUGGACACCACCCCCUCCUCCUACACACACACACACACACACACACACACACAGAGCCAGGGCGAGGGCGCCAGGAGAGGCGCGAAGCUGUAGAUUUGUGUCUCUAUUUUAGGAUCUUAAUAGGAUGGCAUUGGAGAUUUGGUUUCAACAAGAAAAAUCCCCAGAUGUGUAAAGAAUGACAGAUUUUUCCAGUCAUAUUUAGCAGCAAAAGAAAAACACAUCCAUUGCUGAGCUCUCAAGAAGGAAGAGAAGGGUGUUGGUUGGUGCCUGGAGAGAGCUGGGAGAGCCAUCGACAUCUCAACAGUGGUGACAGCAGGAACAUGAUGGUGAUAUGUAGGCAGUGCAGAGGGACAGGAAGGGAGGAAUCCCAGGACUGAUUUGUGUAAUAGAUACCUGAUCUGCUUGGAAGGUUAAAAAAAAUAAAAAGGCAGACCUUCCAUCAGUCCAACUUGGUGGAAGAUGGAUAAGAUACCUGUUUGAUUACUAAAGAGAACACCCCUGGAUGGGAUUCUUGGGUGCAUUUUGGUGAUAGGAGUUCUAACUCAUAUGGGUCAGAUGUUUACCACAUAGGUUGUUGAGUGUUUCCUGUGCUGUGCCUCUCACUUACUGUAUCUUUUUCCUCAUUGGAAAAAGAAAUUGGAGAAAUAACCUGAAUCAAUCGGUAAACGUCACCCUUGCUUGCCUGGCCGCUUCAUCAGUCACUGAUCCAUAAUGGCUGCACAUUAAUGUGUGUGGCUUUCAUUUUCCAUUUUAUAAUUUUUUAAAAUAUUUAUUUAUUUAUCUGAAAGUCAGCGUUACACACAGAAAGAUGGAGAGACAGAGGUCUUCCAUCUGCUGGUUCACUGCCCAGAUGGCUGCAAUGCCUGGUCUGGAGCCAGGCUGAAGCCAGGAGUUUCUUCUGGGUCUCCCAUGUGGGUACCAAGGGUCCAAGCACUUGGGCCAUCUUCCCCUGCUUUUCCCAGGCCAUUAGCAGAGAGCUGUAUUGGAAAUGGAACAGCAGGGACUCCAUCCAGUAUCUAUAUGGUAUGCCAGUGUCACAGGUGGUGGCUUUACCCGCUACGCCACAACUCUGGUCCCUUCCACUUUAUAAUUUCUACAAAACAUACAAUAGGUAGAAUAAUUGCCUCCCAGGAUAUUCCCACCCUAAUCCUUGGACCCUGUAAAUAUGCUAUCAUAUUUGCAACAGAGCAUUGCAGAUGUGACAAAGGUUAAUGACCUUGAGAUGGGAAGAUUACCCUGGGUUCUGCAGCUGGUUCCAGUCUAACCAUGUGGGUUCUUCAGAGCAGAAGAGGAAAGCAAAAGAGUUGGCCAAAAAGAUUCAAGUGAUGGAAAAAGGGGCAGCAGAGAUAUGACGUGAGAAGGAUUGGACUGCCCUUGCUGGGUUGAAAGCAAAAGAAUGCAGAAAGGUAGGUCUAGAGCUGAGAAUGACCACAGGUCAAGAUCUGGGAAGUAAACAGGGUCCCCAGUGCUGAAACCCCAAGAAUCUAGAAUCUUCCAACAACCAGCCUGAGCCAGGAUACAGAAGCUCCCCUAGAACCUUCAGAGAGGAACACAACCCCACCACCAUUUUGAAUUUGGCCCUCUGUGAAAUUUUGGAAUUUAGAUCUAUUGAGCUACACACUAAAAACAAACAAAAAACAGAGCUGUGUGGGUCUAAGGUCCUGGGUCUGUAGAAAUUGUGGCAGCAAUGACUGAGAAGUAGUAUGCCCACUAAAUCUAGUGUGAGAGCUGAAUCGUGCCUCUUUGGCUUUCAGCCUCUCCUACAGAAUUAAUGUGUAGUUUGUGCUCAGUCAUCAUUGGAUGAGAAAGGAAAGUAAACAGGGAGGGAAAGUGAGAGGGAGAGAUAUCCUUAGGUCUUUAUUUUCCACAAAUAUAUUUGAAAGAGAAGUUCUAUAGCUAGUUAACAAUCAGUAUAGAAUGGAGUAAGUGGGACAGAGGAGUGAGUUGGGAGGUCAGCAUGUUUAAACUCACGUUUGAAAAGCCUUAAGCAUUCCACUUCUGGGUGCAGGCAAACACGCGUGCUCACCUGUCUUCUUGCCUAUCUGCCAUGCGCCCUGUCAAAAAGCCUACACAAAAUACUUACAGAAUUGUUACUCUUGCAUUCCAAAUUCCAGUAGUUUUUCUAGAACAUCACUGAUUGAUUUAGGUAGUUUAUCCUCCACGCUGGUGUUACUAAUACAAAAGUGACUCUUAUCCUAGUCUUACCCAAAUGCAUGUCACAUAGCGGAUGUCAACUGUUCCUUCACAACCACUAUAAUCAUCCUGAUCAAAUACUUGUUAUUUCAUAACACAUUUUAACUUGUGAAAGCCACCAAGAGGUAUAUAAAAUGUACCUAUACAGUUAAAUAAUAAAGUACUCAUAUAAACAUGCCACCUGGAGAAAUAGAUGUUUAUGUUACUCUUUAAUUACACACACCCCCUUUCCUCAAACAGCACCCUAACCUUGAUUACCAUUCUUUUUCUAUUCCUUGUAUGUUUUGUUCAUUUUUAUGUAUUUCCAAGCAAAAUGUCAUUGUUUUACAAGGCUAUCAAAAAUCUCAUAGAACAUGUGUGUUAUGAAAAAAACUAUGCAUGGAUUUCAACAUUAUUUUGCCCCUACAUCAACUUGUCUUUUAAUUACAUUUUCAAUGAACUUUCUGAAAUCCUCUUAAAUGUUUUUAAAAUCCAUGGGAAAGAAAUGGUUGUACUAUCAAAACUAUUCACAAGAAAAUAUAUAUAUGUACACAUGUAUGUAUAAUUAACAAUACAUAAAAUGCUUUUGUCAAUUUUUUUCAGUCAGCAUUGUGUUCUGGUGGUUCUUACAUGUUGACAUAACUGUCAUUCACUUAUUUUCACUGCUUUGGAUGAAUAUGCUGCAAUAUACUUGUUCUGCAUGAUUAUUUGGGUGGUUUCCAAGUUGUUACUGACACAAACAGUUCUGCAGCAAACACUCAUAUACAUGUUUUCUGGUACAUGUGUGAAGAGUUUCUUUAGGGAGUAUCCCAAGGGAAAGAAAUGCUGGGGUAUAUGUGCCUGCACAAAUUUCCCAGGUAAUACCAAUUGGUUUCCAAAGUAGUUACACUAAUCCCAUCUCCAUUACUUUUCUAAGUAAAAAGGCUCUUAGCUGUGUUUCUCUACCUUCAGUUUUUCUCCAACUCAGUCUCUCCUGUCCACAAGCAUCAGUCUGGUUUUCCUAAACUGCUGCAUUCAGCAUGUUUUCCUCACAUCCUAAAUUCUACUUUUACUCAAGAACUUACUAUGCAGCUUAUUGUCUGUCAACAAACUCUUGAUAGCCUUUUCAUGGGUGGUCAAAUCCACUACUUUUCAAAAACGCUUUGUGCUACAUAGACUAGUCUUUGUAGUUUUUUUCCCCCCUUAAUGCGUGUUCUUUUUGCCUUUGAGUUUUUUCUCCUAAAACUCCCUUGCCUACAAUCUCUCCAGUUUCCCUCUGCACCUAAACAUUUCUCACUCUUCAAAGUCCUAUUGAUGUCUUCCUGUUCUAUGGUGCCUUCCCUGGCUAUUUCAUCUGCUUUUUCUGAAAUCUCCUAGCAGUAAGAAGCAGCAGGAAGAUGUCAUUCAGUCAUUCAUUCAAACAUCAUUUGGGACUUCAUACUGCAUGAAUUCAUGAAGUCUGCAAGGAGAAAAGAUGAGAGUCCCAAGAAAGAUAAGCAAUUUGCUUUCAGAAUGAUGUGCCCAUCAGUUAUGCACAUUUAUCCAAGCAUAGGCUGGACAACACUAUGUCCUGGGUACUCAAAGAGGAAAUCAAAGGGUACCUAGUGACUUGGAUCUAUUUGUCACCAUGGUCCACUGCAAUAUGUGAUUGUAUGAGUCUGAGCUGCUGCUGUGGCUUAAAUAUGAUUUGGCCCCCAAACCCAUUUAGGAGUGUAAACUCCAAACUCUUAAGUUAAUGGUACCAAGUUGGCAUUUAAAAAGUGGCGAGAUGGGCUGGCACUGUGGUGCAGUGGGUUAAGGCCCUGGCCUGCAUCGCUCUCAUCCCAUAUGGGCGCUGGUUCAAGUCCCAGCUUCUCCACUUCCAGUCCAGCUCUCUGCUAUGGUCUGGGAAAGCAGUAGAGGAUGGCCCAGGUCCUUGGGCCCCUACACCCAUGUGGGAGAUGCAGAAGAAGCUCCUGGCUCCUGGCUUCGUAUCAGCUCAGCUCUGACUGUUGUGGCCAUUUGGGGAAUGAACCAGUGGAUGGAAGACUCUCUCUUUCUCACUCUCUCUUUCUGGCUCUACCUCUCUCUGUAACUCUGUGUUUCAAAUAAAAAAAAGUGACUACCUUGGACUGAGUCCAUAGGUGAAGCCACCAUGAUGCCCUGUGUACCUCAGGACUCUGACAGCAACAAUGCCAUCACCAGAGGCUGAAUCAGUGGGACACAUCCUAUCUUUGGCUGUGAAUCUCAAGAACUGUGGGCCAAAGUAAAUCUCUUUUCUUUAUAAAAUUAACCUGUGAGGCCGGCACCACUUGAUUAAUCCUCCACCUAUGGCACCGGCAUUCCAUAUGGGUGUCGGGUUCUAGUCCCGGUUGCUCCUCUUCUAGUCCAGCUCUCUGCUGUUGCUCCUCUUCUCGUCCAGCUCUGUGCGUGGGCCCCUGCACCUGCAUGGGAAACCAGGAGGAAGCACCUGGCUCCUGGCUUCGGAUCGCUGUAGCUCCAGCCGUAGCGGCCAUUUGGGAGGUGAACCAACGGAAGGAAGACCUUUCUCUCUGUCUCUCUCUCUAGUCUAACUCUGUCAAAUAACAAUAAUAAAAAAAAAUAACCUAUAUCAGGUGUAUUGUUAUAAUAAUGACUAAGGCACUUGCCAUGAGAGAUGCAGCCAGCAUGUAGAACCCUCUGUCUUGUAAACUCAACUUUCUCUUAGCACUUUGUCUCUCACCAGGAAUUAACAAAACCAUGUGCUCUAGCCCAAAUGUCCUGCUUCCCACAUCCCAAACUCAUUGUUCUUGCAUAUUUCCACAUCACUACUUUGACCAUGCCCAUCAAGGUAGAGGAUCACAACACUCUUUCCUGUCAAGCUAAGUGCUCUCCACCCUUUCAGAACUGUCUACGCAGCCUUUCCAAGCCUUUUCUUGGCUUUCUGUGACACUAUUCUCUCAUAGAAUUUUUGGUGUUUAACAUACAUUAUCUUAUACAUCAGGUAUGUCAAAAAGUUCAUGGAAAAUGGAACUAAAAAAUAAAGAACAUUUUCCACAAAUUGUCUGAAGACCCUCCUAGUUUUUAUAGGUAAGCAUCAAACUCAGGAACUUAAACUCAGCGUAGCACAGAAACUUGAACAGGAGUGUUA
Oryctolagus cuniculus (rabbit) is the source of this 6263-nucleotide non-coding RNA. Lineage: Eukaryota; Metazoa; Chordata; Mammalia; Lagomorpha; Leporidae. The record is from RefSeq and is a predicted model, not a curated record.